RNAcentral lists this ribosomal RNA (458 nucleotides) under uncultured bacterium. RNAcentral's name for it is "partial 16S ribosomal RNA". It matches the Rfam family "Bacterial small subunit ribosomal RNA", at positions 338 to 795 of the family's 1533-position model. The record is from RNAcentral.
CCUACGGGAGGCUGCAGUGGGGAAUAUUGCACAAUGGGGGCAACCCUGAUGCAGCGACGCCGCGUGAGUGAAGAAGUAAUUCGGUACGUAAAGCUCUAUCAGCAGGGAAGAAACACUGUCCUGACGGUCAGCAGACGGUACCGGCGUACGAAGCCCCGGCUACCUACGUGCUAGCAGCCGCGGUAAUACGUAGGGGGCAAGCGUUAUCCGGAUUUAGCGGGUGUAAAGGGAGCGUAGACGGUGCGCCAAGUCGGGAGUGAAAUGCCGCAGCUUAACUGCGGAACUGCUUUUGAAACUGGCGAACUAGAGUGCGGGAGGGGUAAGCGGAAUUCCUAGUGUAGCGGUGAAAUGCGUAGAUAUUAGGAGGAACACCGGUGGCGAAGGCGGCUUACUGGACCGUAACUGACGUUGAGGCACGAAAGCGUGGGGAGCAAACAGGAUUAGAUACCCGGGUAGUC